GGUACCGUAAGAAUAAGGACCGGCUAACUCCGUGCCAGCAGCCGCGGUAAUACGGAGGGUCCGAGCGUUAUCCGGAAUCAUUGGGUUUAAAGGGUCCGUAGGCGGGCCUGUAAGUCAGGGGUGAAAGUUUGUGGCUCAACCAUAAAAUUGCCUUUGAUACUGCAGGUCUUGAGUCAUGGUGGGGUUGCCGGAACAUGUGGUGUAGCGGUGAAAUGCAUAGAUAUCACAUAGAACACCGAUCGCGAAGGCAGGUGACCAACCAUGUACUGACGCUGAUGGACGAAAGCGUGGGUAGCGAACGGGAUUAGAUACCCCGGUAGUCCACGCCGUAAACGAUGGAUACUAGCUGUGGGGACUUCGGUCUCCGUGGCCAAGCGAAAGUGAUAAGUAUCCCACCUGGGGAGUACGUUCGCAAGAAUGAAACUCAAAGGAAUUGACGGGGGCCCGCACAAGCGGUGGAGCAUGUGGUUUAAUUCGAUGAUACGCGAGGAACCUUACCAGGGCUUAAAUGCAGGCUGCAUGGGGUAGAGAUACCCCUUUCUUCGGACCGCCUGCAAGGUGCUGCAUGGUUGUCGUCAGCUCGUGCCGUGAGGUGUCAGGUUAAGUCCUAUAACGAGCGCAACCCCUACCGUUAGUUGCCAGCAUGUCAAGAUGGGGACUCUAACGGGACUGCCGGUGCAAACCGUGAGGAAGGUGGGGACGACGUCAAAUCAUCACGGCCCUUACGUCCUGGGCUACACACGUGCUACAAUGGCCGGUACAGAGGGAAGCCACCCCGCAAGGGGGCGCGGAUCUACAAAACCGGUCACAGUUCGGAUCGGGGUCUGCAACUCGACCCCGUGAAGCUGGAAUCGCUAGUAAUCGGAUAUCAGCCAUGAUCCGGUGAAUACGUUCCCGGGCCUUGUACAC
RNAcentral lists this ribosomal RNA (909 nucleotides) under Flagellimonas marinaquae. RNAcentral describes it as "bacterial SSU rRNA". It matches the Rfam family "Bacterial small subunit ribosomal RNA", at positions 474 to 1388 of the family's 1533-position model. The record is from RNAcentral. Lineage: Bacteria; Pseudomonadati; Bacteroidota; Flavobacteriia; Flavobacteriales; Flavobacteriaceae.